GCUGUACACAUCCAUACACAACAGACACACAUUAUAAUAUGGUGCUGUACACAUCCAUACACAACAGACACACAUUAUAAUAUGGUGCUGUACACAUCCAUACACAACAGACACAUUCUAAUAUGGUACUGUACACAUCCAUACACAACAGACACACAUUCUAAUAUGGUACUGUACACAUCCAUCCACAACAGACACAUUCUAAUAUGUUACUGUACACAUCCAUACACAACAGACACAUUCUAAUAUGGUACUGUACAGAUCCAUACACAACAGACACAAUCUAAUAUGUUACUGUACAGAUCCAUACACAACAGACACAUUCUAAUAUUGUACUGUACACAUCCAUACACAACAGACACAUUGUAAUAUGUUACUGUACACACCCAUACACAACAGACACAUUCUAAUAUGAUUCUGUACACAUCAAUACACAAAAGACACAUUCUAAUAUGGUACUGUACACAUCCAUACACAACAGACACACAUUCUAAUAUGGUACUGUACCCAUCCAUACACAAAAGACACAUUCUAAUAUGGUACUGUACACAUCCAUACAAAACAGACACAUUCUAAUAUGGUACUGUACACAUCCAUACACAACAGACACAUUCUAAUAUGGUACUGUACACAUCCAUACACAACAGACACAUUCUAAUAUGUUGCUGUACACAUCCAUACACAACGAGACACAUUAUAAUAUGUUACUGUACACAUCCACACACAACAGACACAUUCUAAUAUGUUACUGUACAGAUCCACACACAACAGACACAUUCUAAUAUGUUACUGUAAACAUCCAUACACAACAGACACAUUCUAAUAUGUUACUGUACACAUCAAUACACAACAGACACAUUCUAAUAUGUUACUGUACACAUCCAUACACAACAGACACAUUCUAAUAUGGUACUGUACACAUCCAUACACAACAGACACAUUCUAAUAUGGUACUGUAAA
Molecule: long non-coding RNA, 960 nt
Filed under: Salmo salar (Atlantic salmon)
Lineage: Eukaryota; Metazoa; Chordata; Actinopteri; Salmoniformes; Salmonidae
Description: lncRNA (ENSSSAG00000114182.1)
Source: RNAcentral